AAAAUGCAACAGAAAAUAACCAAGAAUGAUAAAAGAAAAAAAGAUAGAAAAAUAAAAAAUUCCAAAACCUUAUAAAAAUUUAUGAAAUUAUGAAUAAAGAAAGAAAAUAAAAUAAGAAAAAAAAUUAAAGCAAAAGAAAAAAGAUAGAUAAAGCACGAAAAAAGAAAAAAAAAACAAAAAUACAACAAAAAAUUAUAAAAAGUAAGAAAAUGAAAAAGGACAAAAAUUGAAUAAAAAUUUCAAAAAUGAAAUGGAAUGACAAAAUGAAAAAAAAAUUAGUUUAAAAAAUACAAAAAAUUAAAAAACAUAUAAGACCAAACAAUCUAAAAAGUCUGACAAAAAAUUAAAAAAGAGAAAAGUUAAUGCAAAAUAAAAAAAAAAAGUAUGAGAAUUUAAAAACGCAAAUAAGAAAUGAAAGGAAAUUUGUGGAAAAAAAAAGAAAAGACAAAAGAUUUGGAAUAAAAAAGAGAAAAAUAAAAAUUUUUAAAACAACGAAAAAAUUAAAAAAAGUAAAAAUGAAAACAUAUGAAAAAAAAAAAGCAAAAAGAAGGAAAAUUGCAAAGGGAAAAAGUUAUUAAAAAUUUACAAAGUAAAAAAAAGUUAGGGAAUCAAAAAAUAUAAAAGGAAAAAAAUAAAAAUAAACAAAGUAAGAAAAUAAAAAAUUAGGGAAUCAAAAAAUAUAAAAAGACAAAAUGAAUAAAAAUUUCAAAUAUAAAAAGAAAGUGCACAAAAAAAGAAGUUUGAGGUUUUAAAAUUACAAAGAAGAAAUAAAAAAAGGUGUGAACAAAAAGAUUUAAGAAAAAAAUAACAAAUGAAAAUACAAAAAUAUAACAAAUAUUUGAGAAAAAAAUGAGAAAAGAAGAAAAAAUAAAAAAUGAAGAGGCAAAAUAUGAAAUAAAACAAAAGAAAAAAUUUAUAGAAAUUUUAAAACAAAGAAAAAAAUACAAAAAAGGACAAAAAUUGAAUAAAAAUUCAAAAAUGAAAUGGAAUGCACAUGAAAAAAAAAAAUAGUUUUAAAAAAGACAAAAAAAAAUUGAAAAACAUAUAAGUCCUAACAAAUAUAAAAGUCAGACAAAAAUUAAAAGAGAAAAGUUAAUGCAAAAUAAAAAAGUAGAGAAUUUUAAAAAAUGCAUAAUAAGAAUGAAAGGAAAUGUUGUGGAAAAAAAAAGAAGCAAGAAAAGACAAAAGAUUUGGAAUAAAAAAUAGAAAAUCAAAAUUUUAAAACAACGAAAAAUUAAAACCAGUAAAAAUGAAAGCAUUAGAAAAAAGCACAAAGAAGAAAAUUGGUGAAGAAAAAGUUAUUAAAAAAUUACAAAGUUGAAAAAAAAUAAUUAAGCGAAAAAUUAAAUAAAAUACCCAGAAAGGAAAAAUAAAAAUAAACAAAGUAAGAAAAUAAAAAUUAGCGAAGCAAAAAAAUAUAAAAAGACAAAUGAAUAAAAUUCAAAUAUAAAAUGGAAAAAACUUUUAGUUUAGAAUGUAGAAAGAAAAACAAAAAAAAAAAAAACAAAUAGAGGAAAAAGAUAUAAAUAUGAAAGAUGAAAAAUAAAAUAAAAGAAAGUGCACAAAAAAAGAAGUUUGAGGUUUUAAAAUUAUAAAGAAGAAAUAAAAAAGGUGCGAACAAAAAGAUUUAAGAAAAAAUAAAAAUGAAAAUGCAAAAUAUAUAAAAUAAAAAUUGAGAAAAGAAGAAAAAAUAAAAAAUGAAGAGGCAAAAAUAUGAAAAAAAAUAAAAAGAAAAAAUUUAUAGAAAAUUUUAAAACAAGAAAAAAGUGAACAAAAAAAAAUGAAAGCACAUAAAAAAAAGUAAAAAAAAGAAGAAAAAUUCGGAAGGAGAAAAAGUUAAUGAAAAAUUAUAAAAAUGCAACAGAAAAUAACCAAGAAUGAUAAAAGAAAAAAAGAUAGAAAAAUAAAAAAUUCCAAAACUUUAUAAAAAUUUAUGAAAUUAUAAAUAAAGAAAGAAAAUAAAACACGAAAAAAAAUUAAAGCAAAAGAAAAAAGAUAAAUAAAGCACAAAAAAAAAAAACAAAAAUACAACAAAAAUAUAAAAAGUAAGAAAAUGAAAAAGGACAAAAAUUGAAUAAAAAUUUCAAAAAUGAAAUGGAAUGACAAAAUGAAAAAAAUUAGUUUAAAAAAUACAAAAAAUUGAAAAACAUAUAAGUUCUAACAAUAUAAAAAGUUUGGGAAUUUAAAAACACAAAUAAGAAAUGAAAGGAAAUUUAUGGAAAAAAAAAAAGAAAAGACAAAAGAUUUGGAAUAAAAAAUAGAAAAAUAAAAUUUUUAAAACGACGAAAAAUUAAAAUAAGAAAAAAAAAUUAAAGCAAAAGAAAAAAGAAAAAAAAAACAAAAAUACAACAAAAAAUUAUAAAAGGUAAGAAAAUGAAAGAGGACAGAAAAUGAAUAAAAAUUUCAAAAAUGAAAUGGAAUGACAAAAUGAAAAUAAAAUUAGUUUAAAAAAAAAAAAAAAUUGAAAAACAUAUAAGACCUAACAAUAUAAAAAGUCAGACAAAAAAUAAAAAAAGAGAAAAGUUAAUGCAAAAUAAAAAAAAGUAUGAGAAUUUAAAAGCGCAAAUAAGAAAUGAAAGGAAAUUUGAGGAAAAAAAGAGACAAAAGAUUUGGAAUAAAAAAUAGAAAAAUAGAAAAUUUUAAAACAACAAAAAAAAUUAAAACAAGUAAAAAUGAAAGCAUAUGAAAAAAAAAAGCAAAAAGAAGGCAAAUUAUGAAGGGAAAAAGUUAUUAAAAAAUUACAAAGUAGAAAAAAAAGAAAAUAAAAAAAUAAAUUAAGAGAAAAAAUUAAAUAAAAUACCAAAAAAGGAAAAAAUAAAAAUAAACAAAUUAAGAAAAUAAAAAAUUAGCGAAUCAAAAAAUAUAAAAAGACAAAAUGAAUAAAAAUUUCAAAUAUAAAAUGAAAAAAACUAUUGGUUCAGAAUGUACAAAGAAAAAUAAAAAAAAUAUAACAAGCAGAGGAAAAAGAUAUAAAAUAUGAAAGAUGAAAAAUAAAAUAAAAGAAAGUGCACAAAAAAAGAAGUUUGAGGUUUUAAAACUAUAAAGAAGAAAUAAAAAAAGGUGUGAACAAAAAGAUUUAAGAAAAAAAAAAGAAAAUACAAAAUAUAUAAAAUAAAAUUUGAGAAAAAGAAGAAAAAAAUAAAAAAUGAAGAGGCAAAAAUAUGAAAUAAAAGAAAAAGAAAAAAUUUAUAGAAAAUUUUAAAACAAAGAGAAAAGUGAACAAAAAAGAAUGAUGGCAUAUAAAAAAAAAGUAAAAAAAAGAAGAAAAAUUUGGAAGGAGAAAAAGUUAAUGAAAAAAAUAUAAAAAUGCAAUAGAAAAUAACCAAGAAUGAUAAAAGAAAAAAAGAUAGAAAAGUAAAAAAUUCUAAAACUUUAUAAAAAUUUAUGAAAUUAUAAAUAAAGAAAGAAAAUAAAAAAUAAAAUAAAAUAAGAAAAAAAAGUAAAGCAAAAGAAAAAAGAUAAAUAAAGCACAAAAAAACAAAAAUACAACAAAAAAUAUAAAAAGUAAGAAAAUAAAAAAAGGACAAAAAUUGAAUAAAAAUUUCAAAAAUGAAAUGGAAUGACAAAAUGAAAAAAAAAUUAGUUUAACAAAAAAUUGAAAAACAUAUAAGACCUAAUAAUAUAAAAAGUCAGAGAAAAAAUUAAAAAAGAGCAAAGUUAAUGCAAAAUAAAAAAAAAAAGUAUGAGAAUUUAAAAACGCAAAUAGGAAAUGAAAGGAAAUUUGUGGAAAAAAAAAAGAAAAGACAAAAGAUUUGGAAUAAAAAACAGAAAAAUAAAAAUUUUUAAAACAAUGAAAAAUUAAAACAAGUAAACACGAAAGCAUAUGUAAAAAAAGCAAAAAGAAGGAAAAUUGUGAAGGGAAAAAGUUAUUAAGAAAUUACAAAGUAGAAAAAAAUAAGAAAAUAAAAAAAAUAAAUUAAGAGAAAAAAUUAACGAAUCAAAAAAAUAUAAAAAGACAAAAUGAAUAAUCAAAUAUAAAAUGGAAAAAACUUUUAGUUUAGAAUUUACAAAGAAAAAGAAAAAAAAAUAACAAAUAGAGGAAAAAGAUAUAAAAUAUGAAAGAUGAAAAAAAAAUAAAAGAAAGUGCACAAAAAAAGAAGUUUGAGGUUUUAAAGUUAUAAAGAAAAAAAAAAAAAGGUGUGAACAAAAAGAUUUAAGAAAAAAAUAAAAAAUGAAAAUACAAAAUAUAUAAAAUAAAAUUUGAGAAAAAGAAGAAAAAAAAUAAAGAAUGAAGAGGCAAAAAUAUGAAAUAAAACAAAAAGAAAAAAAAUUUAUAGAAAAUUUUAAAACAAAGAAAAAACUGAACGAAAAAGAAUGAAAGCACAUAAAAAAAAGUAAAAAAAAAGAAGAAAAAUUCGGAAGGAGAAAAAGUUAAUGAAAAAUUAUAAAAAUGCAACAGAAAAUAACCAAGAAUGAUAAGAAAAAAAAGAUAGAAAAAUAAAAAAUUCCAAAACCUUAUAAAAUUUAUGAAAUUAUGAAUAAAGAAAGAAAAUAAAAUAAGAAAAAAAUUAAAGCAAAAGAAAAAGAUAGAUAAAGCAGAAAAAGAAAAAAAAAAACAAAAAAUAACAACAAAAAAUUAAAAAAAGUAAAAAUGAAAAAGACAAAAAUGAAUAAAAAUUUCAAAAUGAAAUUGAAUGACAAAAUGAAAAAAAAAUUGAGUUUAAAAAAAAUCAAAAAAAUUAAAAAACAUAUUAAGACAAAACCAAUCUAAAAAGUCUACAAAAAUUAAAAAAGAGAAGUUAAUGCAAAAUAAAAAAAAAAAGUAUGGGAAUUUAAAAACGCAAAUAAGAAAUGAAAGGAAAUUUGUGGAAAAAAAAAAAGAAAAGACAAAAGAUUUGGAAUAAAAAAGAGAAAAAUAAAAAUUUUUAAAACAACGAAAAAUUAAAAAAAAGUAAAAAUGAAACAUAUGAAAAAAAAAAAGCAAAAAGAAGGAAAAUUGCAAAGGGAAAAAGUUAUUAAAAAUUUACAAGUAAAAAAAAAGUUAGGGAAUCAAAAAAUAUAAAAGGAAAAAAAUAAAAAUAAACAAAGUAAGAAAAUAAAAAUUAGGGAAUCAAAAAAAUAUAAAAAGACAAAAUGAAUAAAAAUUUCAAAUAUAAAAAGAAAGUGCACAAAAAAAGAAGUUUAGUUUUUAAAAAUUACAAAGAAGAAAUAAAAAAAGGUUGUGAACAAAGAUUUAAGAAAAAAAAUAACAAAUGAAAAUACAAAAUAUAUAAAAAAUAUUGAGAAAAAAUAGAAAAAGAAGAAAAAAAUAAAAAAUGAAGAGGCAAAAAUAUGAAAUAAAACAAAAAGAAAAAAAAUAGAAAUUUUAAACAAAGAAAAAAAAUACAAAAAAAGGACAAAAAUUGAAUAAAAAUUUCAAAAAUGAAAUGGAAUGACAAAAUGAAAAAAAAAAGUUUAAAAACAAAAAAAAUUGAAAAACAUAUAAGUCCUAACAAUAUAAAAAGUCAGACAAAAAAUUAAAAAAGAAAAAGUUAAUGCAAAAUAAAAAAAAGUAUGAGAAUUUAAAAAUGCAAAUAAGAAAUGAAAGGAAAUGUGUGGAAAAAAAAGAGAAGCAAGAAAAGACAAAAGAUUUGGAAUAAAAAAUAGAAAAAUAAAAAUUUUUAAAACAACGAAAAAAUUAAAACCAGUAAAAAUGAAAGCAUAUGAAAAAAAAGCAAAAAGAAGGAAAAUUGUGAAGGGAAAAAGUUAUUAAAAAAUUACAAAGUUGAAAAAAAAUAAAUUAAGCGAAAAAAUUAAAUAAAAUACCCAGAAAGGAAAAAUAAAAAUAAACAAAGUAAGAAAAUAAAAAAUUAGCGAAGCAAAAAAAUAUAAAAAGACAAAUGAAUAAAAAUUUCAAAUAUAAAAUGGAAAAAACUUUUAGUUUAGAAUGUAGAAAGAAAAACAAAAAAAAAAAAAACAAAUAGAGGAAAAAGAUAUAAAUAUGAAAGAUGAAAAAUAAAAUAAAAGAAAGUGCACAAAAAAAAGUUUGAGGUUUUAAAAUUAUAAAGAAGAAAUAAAAAAAGGUGCGAACAAAAAGAUUUAAGAAAAAAAUAAAAAAUGAAAAUGCAAAAUAUAUAAAAUAAAAUUGAGAAAAAGAAGAAAAAAAUAAAAAUGAAGAGGCAAAAAUAUGAAAAAAAAUAAAAAGAAAAAAAUUUAUAGAAAAUUUUAAAACAAAGAAAAAAGUGAACAAAAAAAAAUGAAAGCACAUAAAAAAAAAGUAAAAAAAGAAGAAGAAAAAUUCGAAGGAGAAAAAGUUAAUGAAAAAUUAUAAAAAUGCAACAGAAAAUAACCAAGAAUGAUAAAAGAAAAAAGAUAGAAAAAUAAAAAAUUCCAAAACUUUAUAAAAAUUUAUGAAAUUAUAAAUAAAGAAAGAAAAUAAAACACGAAAAAAAUUAAAGCAAAAGAAAAAAGAUAAAUAAAGCACAAAAAAAAAAAACAAAAAUACAACAAAAAUAUAAAAAGUAAGAAAAUGAAAAAGGACAAAAAUUGAAUAAAAAUUUCAAAAAUGAAAUGGAAUGACAAAAUGAAAAAAAUUAGUUUAAAAAAUACAAAAAAUUGAAAAACAUAUAAGUUCUAACAAUAUAAAAAGUUUGGAAUUUAAAAACACAAAUAAGAAAUGAAAGGAAAUUUAUGGAAAAAAAAAAAAGAACAAAAGAUUUGGAAUAAAAAAUAGAAAAAUAAAAUUUUUAAAACGACGAAAAAUUAAAAUAAGAAAAAAAUUAAAGCAAAAGAAAAUAAAGCAUGAAAAAAAAAACAAAAAUACAACAAAAAAUUAUAAAAGGUAAGAAAAUGAAAGAGGACAAAAAUGAAUAAAAAUUUCAAAAAUGAAAUGGAAUGACAAAAUGAAAAUAAAAUUAGUUUAAAAAAUAAAAAAAAAUUGAAAAACAUAUAAGACCUAACAAUAUAAAAAGUCAGACAAAAAAUUAAAAAAGAGAAAAGUUAAUGCAAAAUAAAAAAAAAGUAUGAGAAUUUAAAAGCGCAAAUAAGAAAUGAAAGGAAAUUUGAGGAAAAAAAGAGACAAAAGAUUUGGAAUAAAAAAUAGAAAAAUAGAAAAUUUUAAAACAACAAAAAAAAUUAAAACAAGUAAAAAUGAAAGCAUAUGAAAAAAAAAAGCAAAAAGAAGGCAAAUUAUGAAGGGAAAAAGUUAUUAAAAAAUUACAAAGUAGAAAAAAAGAAAAUAAAAAAUAAAUUAAGAGAAAAAAUUAAAUAAAAUACCAAAAAGGAAAAAAUAAAAAUAAACAAAUUAAGAAAAUAAAAAAUUAGCGAAUCAAAAAAUAUAAAAAGACAAAAUGAAUAAAAAUUUCAAAUAUAAAAUGAAAAAAACUAUUGGUUCAGAAUGUACAAAGAAAAAUAAAAAAAUAUAACAAGCAGAGGAAAAAGAUAUAAAAUAUGAAAGAUGAAAAAUAAAAUAAAAGAAAGUGCACAAAAAAAGAAGUUUGAGGUUUUAAAACUAUAAAGAAGAAAUAAAAAAAGGUGUGAACAAAAAGAUUUAAGAAAAAAAAAAGAAAAUACAAAAUAUAUAAAAUAAAAUUUGAGAAAAAGAAGAAAAAAAAAAAAUGAAGAGGCAAAAAUAUGAAAUAAAAGAAAAAGAAAAAAUUUAUAGAAAAUUUUAAAACAAAGAAAAGUGAACAAAAAAGAAUGAUGGCAUAUAAAAAAAAAGUAAAAAAAAGAAGAAAAAUUUGGAAGGAGAAAAAGUUAAUGAAAAAAAUAUAAAAAUGCAAUAGAAAAUAACCAAGAAUGAUAAAAGAAAAAAGAUAGAAAAGUAAAAAAUUCUAAAACUUUAUAAAAAUUUAUGAAAUUAUAAUAAAGAAAGAAAAUAAAAAUAAAAUAAAAUAAGAAAAAAAGUAAAGCAAAAGAAAAAGAUAAAAAAGCACAAAAAAAAACAAAAAAAAAAACAAAAAAUAUAAAAAGUAAGAAAAUAAAAAAGGACAAAAAUUGAAUAAAAAUUUCAAAAAUGAAAUGGAAUGACAAAAUGAAAAAAAAAUUAGUUUAACAAAAAAUUGAAAAACAUAUAAGACCUAAAAUAUAAAAAGUCAGAGAAAAAAUUAAAAAAGAGCAAAGUUAAUGCAAAAUAAAAAAAAAGUAUGAGAAUUUAAAAACGCAAAUAGAAAUGAAAGGAAAUUUGUGGAAAAAAAAAAAAGAAAAGACAAAAGAUUUGGAAUAAAAAACAGAAAAAUAAAAAUUUUUAAAACAAUGAAAAAUUAAA
This 8185-nucleotide long non-coding RNA is filed under the name Durio zibethinus. Its description in RNAcentral is "long non-coding RNA (DZIB_LNC001785)". The record is from RNAcentral. Lineage: Eukaryota; Viridiplantae; Streptophyta; Magnoliopsida; Malvales; Malvaceae.